GAUGAACGCUGGCGGCGUGCCUAAUACAUGCAAGUCGAGCGAACAGAUGAGGAGCUUGCUCCUCUGACGUUAGCGGCGGACGGGUGAGUAGCACGUGGAUAACCUACCUAUAAGACUGGGAUAACUUCGGGAAACCGGAGCUAAUACCGGAUAAUAUAUUGAACCGCAUGGUUCAAUAGUGAAAGACGGUUUUGCUGUCACUUAUAGAUGGAUCCGCGCCGCAUUAGCUAGUUGGUAAGGUAACGGCUUACCAAGGCAACGAUGCGUAGCCGACCUGAGAGGGUGAUCGGCCACACUGGAACUGAGACACGGUCCAGACUCCUACGGGAGGCAGCAGUAGGGAAUCUUCCGCAAUGGGCGAAAGCCUGACGGAGCAACGCCGCGUGAGUGAUGAAGGUCUUCGGAUCGUAAAACUCUGUUAUUAGGGAAGAACAAAUGUGUAAGUAACUGUGCACGUCUUGACGGUACCUAAUCAGAAAGCCACGGCUAACUACGUG
RNAcentral lists this ribosomal RNA (497 nucleotides) under uncultured bacterium. RNAcentral describes it as "partial 16S ribosomal RNA". It matches the Rfam family "Bacterial small subunit ribosomal RNA", at positions 28 to 507 of the family's 1533-position model. The record is from RNAcentral.